RNAcentral lists this ribosomal RNA (497 nucleotides) under uncultured bacterium. Its description in RNAcentral is "partial 16S ribosomal RNA". It matches the Rfam family "Bacterial small subunit ribosomal RNA", at positions 28 to 507 of the family's 1533-position model. The record is from RNAcentral.
GAUGAACGCUGGCGGCGUGCCUAAUACAUGCAAGUCGAGCGAACAGACGAGGAGCUUGCUCCUUCGACGUUAGCGGCGGACGGGUGAGUAACACGUAGGUAACCUACCUAUAAGACUGGGAUAACUUCGGGAAACCGGAGCUAAUACCGGAUAAUAUUUCGAACCGCAUGGUUCGAUAGUGAAAGAUGGCUUUGCUAUCACUUAUAGAUGGAUCUGCGCCGUAUUAGCUAGUUGGUAAGGUAACGGCUUACCAAGGCAACGAUGCGUAGCCGACCUGAGAGGGUGAUCGGCCACACUGGAACUGAGACACGGUCCAGACUCCUACGGGAGGCAGCAGUAGGGAAUCUUCCGCAAUGGGCGAAAGCCUGACGGAGCAACGCCGCGUGAGUGAUGAAGGUCUUCGGAUCGUAAAACUCUGUUAUUAGGGAAGAACAAACGUGUAAGUAACUAUGCACGUCUUGACGGUACCUAAUCAGAAAGCCACGGCUAACUACGUG